UAUACAUUCCUGAAUAGUACGAUCGCAGCCAUUAUCAAAAAUGAUUUCUAGACAAAUCAAAGCAUGCAGGGCCAAAGAGCCCGAAGUUGCAGAAUCACCUGCCAAAAAUGUUUAAAAGUUGCCAAGACCUGCACGCGUGCAUCGCUAUCUCCUCACUCACGUGACCAAAUAGUGGACUCUUGCAGCGUUCAAAUGCUUGUCAGAACUAGGAGACUGCCGACCUGCUACUUGGUCGACAUAAACUGCAUGCGUAGGCUCGCCCCACCACUCGCUCUCUUAGCAACAGCCUGCCUCAGUGCGUGAUAGUCCGCAGCAGACAGUCACGGUUAUGUAUCAGGCCGAAUGGAAGACCAUCAAUCAGGUGAUCUGCCAAGGAAGGGGAGGACCAUAGCCCAGCGGUCAAACCCCAGAUCCAUGUCUGUCCUCCCUCAGCCAGGCAACUCCCACCAGCACAGCACAUGGCUCCAUACCCAAAGCAGGACACCCCACCAUCCUAAGACCAGAGCUUGUCCCAGGAGACCCCAAACAGCUAUGGCUCCAUCCUCCCAGCAGCCUCCACUCAACACCAGGCAGGUCCGACCUCUAAAAACGGCUCCAACAACCAGGCAGGUCCGGCAGCCAAUGACGGCUCCAAAAACCAGGCAGGUCUGGCAACCAAAGAUGGCUCCAACAACCAAAAACAUAUCUAAAACCCAGAACCAGAGGGCUUCCAGUGCACAUAAGGUUAAAUGCCUUAAAUCCUCCUGUGCCCAGCAGAAGCAGCCCAGAGUACCCAAGCCUGGGGGCUCUGUCCAACCCGUGACCAUUAAUGUCAAGCCCCAACUGAGAUCCCAGCCCCAGAGACCAUAUACAUGGUCCCAGCACAGACACCAGCCACAGGCCCAGUGUCCACAGCCCUAUUCCAUUAACUCGAUCCUCCACCAAGACUCCCAACUGCCCUUCAACCAAACCUAAGCCUUCCAUUCCACCUAAAUCUAAUUCGCCCAAAACUGCCAACCUAAAUUCCGGCACAACACCUGGUACAUGCCCCCAUGAUACCACCCCCAGACCCCCUGCUGGGUUACUGCCCCAAGAGGGAGAGGUGCCACCUGUACCACAUGAGGUACCCCUUCCACUGGCAGGUGAAGAGGACUGACAUCCCGGAAUGGGUCAGCCUGGAACCCAGCUCCCAGCUGAAAGAAGAACGUUGGUUCUGUGACCCUGAUAAGGAAAGGGUCUACCUAACACAUGGGUGAGUGAGUGGCACGACGUAGAUGUUGCCCCCCACCACAGAUCUUCAGAUGACCCUGGCCUAUAUCCCGAUAUCUAACCAUGAGAAAAUGUCUGACCCUGUAUCAAUGGUAAGGGGCAACUUCUGCCUUAUCAGAGUGGGUAUAGUUAAGACUUGGGUUACUUACUUGAGGUUGGAGCUUGCAGCUUUAGGAUUAUUCCAUUGGUUCCUUUUAAAAUGGGUAGCUGAAGUAUUUGACCCAGGUCUGAUGGGUAAUGGUAAUAUGUGAAGUAAUGUAAGUUUUUCCUCUCUUAAUAAUCAUUCACAUUUGAAAGAAAAUAACUACUCCCUCAUACAGCUCUUCUAGGACUCUCAAGGACCAACUCUGCCUGAACUUUGUCUCACUGAUGGUGGAGAAUUCCACUGUGUACAGCCAAGUCAGGAGGCUGUCCAACACCACUGGCCCAGAGCUGAACCCUCACUUCCCAACACAGUGGCACUUCUGGGAAUCUGACUAUGGCUGGGAAGCCUAUGGAGAAGUAUCCCACCCACCAAACUGUGGGGAUUUUACUUCAUGUUUGGUGUGAGGAAGUGAAAGCCUACUGGCCAUCUCACAUUUGACAAAGCAAUUUAUUUGUUUAGAGAAGUUGUUCUUAGCCCUCAGUCUGUAGAUGGCUUUCCUUUCCUUGAUGACCUCUGAUGGAUGAAAUGGAUUGCUAGAACAUGUCCUGACCUUUGAAGUGACCUAUGACUCAUUUGGAGUAGAUUGACUCUAAUAACAGAUACUGGAUCAGCUAUUUAAGCAAAUGUCUACUGAUUAAAUUCAGGGCUAGGGAAAUCUGUUUCUAGAUCUGUGGUUUGGGGCUGACUUCAUCCUCCUCCCCUGUACCACCUAGGAGAACCUUGAGCUCAUGCUGGACUGUCUUAGUAAGGGUCAGGACAGCUGCAGGCUGGGUAAAGACUGGGCCUGUGUAAAUCUCAAGAUGCUUACAGAGAGAAACUUCAUCAGACUCCACCCACCGCAUCAGAUGCAGACCCACCUUCCGCUCGCCAGACUCCCUAAGACAACACCUCAGGACACUCCCAGUUGGACAGGUAACCCUCCCCAGUCUUGAGGUGGACCCUAUGGAGAAUUUCAGCUACCGUACCCACCGAUGUGGACCCUGAGUCAAGGGAACCCCUUUUCCAUGCUGGAGGUUCCUCCUGGGAUGCUGGUGUACAGCACGGUUCACAACCUGUUCCACAGAACCAUGCCCAGGAUCACCAGCAGGUCCAGAACACCUUCCAUUGGGACAAGUAUAGAAUGUAAGACUUUCCUCGUAACAUUCAGCACUUCAAAUACAUCAAAUUGAUUCCAAUGGAGGGUUGUGUCUCGCAUGUUCCAUGGAACAGGUGCCUCUCCAGGACCACGCUACAAUUGUCCUGUGUGUCCUUCCAGGCAGAAGAAGCACAUGGAGGACACGCAGGACAAUUGUAGUGUGGUCCUGGAGAGACACCUGUUCUAUGGAACAUGCGAGAGCGCCGCCAUGGACAUCUGCCAACAGAACUUCGACCCUCGCGUGGCGAGAACCACUAGUUAUUAUGGCCGUGGCGUUUACUUCACCUGUGAAGCUUUUCGGUUCCGCCUCUACUCCAUCAGAGGGCCGGGGGGAGACUUUACAGACUGUGGGUUCAUGUUCCUGGCUAAGGUGCUUGUGGGUAAAGCCUGUGUAGGAAAGAUUGACUAUGUCCGUCCCCCUCGACUCCCCAACACCACUAAGUCAGGACGUCAUCACUACGAUUCCAGUGCGGAUCAGAAGCAUCCUACCAUAUUUGUUGUUUGACAGCAGCCAGUGCUACCCCUACUACCUCAAGUACAAAGUCCUGGCAAACAAUCAGUGCUGUGUGAAGGGCAUAGAAAACAGAACCAGGACUGGUUUAGGAGGGCACAUUAUUUUGGAUGGAGUAUUGUUGGCUUUACACUUUUAUUUACAUUUUCACUCAAUUGGACAGCCAGUUAUUUGCGACACUGAAAUGUACUAUAACAAUGUUCAAUUUUUUGUGAUACAAUUAAUUAGGUCGAGUUCAAUACUCUUGUGGAUUGAUUGGUUUCUUUUGUUGCCUUUUUAAGUCACUCAACAUUGAGUCUAUUUGUAGAACUAUAAUGAAAACAAAAUGUUAGACAUGUUCUUUCUUUUGGUAAAGGGCCCUCUGUGGAAGAAAUGGACAAGUCACUGUUCCUAACAGCUCAUUUUCUUCCAUCAACUCUUAAGUUGUCUGUGUUCAAUGAGAAGUAAAAUAAACUUUCACUGAAAAUCCAUUCGAUGCAAUGCAUCACUGCUGAUCAUAGUCAAUAAACCAAUGUAAAUGGAUAGUUUUGUAGAAAUUAAAUAUUCUGAAACAGUGGUAGCCAAUGUGUAUAAAUUGUCGUUCUGAUUGCCGCUUCUGUGCCCUCUUGUGGAGAAAUAUCGUGGUCAUGGGUGAUUGAGUUUAAUUUAUCUAGUUGACAUAUCUUUUGUGAUGGUGUAGUGUUUGUGCAUUUUAAAUAUGAACUUUGCCAUCAA
Oncorhynchus keta (chum salmon) is the source of this 3753-nucleotide long non-coding RNA. RefSeq lists it as uncharacterized. Lineage: Eukaryota; Metazoa; Chordata; Actinopteri; Salmoniformes; Salmonidae. The record is from RefSeq and is a predicted model, not a curated record. The transcript has 3 exons.